Molecule: ribosomal RNA, 433 nt
Filed under: uncultured bacterium
Lineage: Bacteria
Description: partial 16S ribosomal RNA
Rfam family: Bacterial small subunit ribosomal RNA
Source: RNAcentral
AACGAACGCUGGCGGCAUGCCUAACACAUGCAAGUCGAACGAGACCUUCGGGUCUAGUGGCGCACGGGUGCGUAACGCGUGGGAACCUGCCCUUAGGUUCGGCAUAACUCCCCGAAAGGGGUGCUAAUACCGGAUAAUGUCUUCGGACCAAAGAUUUAUCGCCUUUGGAUGGGCCCGCGUUGGAUUAGCUAGUUGGUAGGGUAAAAGCCUACCAAGGCGACGAUCCAUAGCUGGUCUGAGAGGAUGAUCAGCCACACUGGGACUGAGACACGGCCCAGACUCCUACGGGAGGCAGCAGUGGGGAAUAUUGGACAAGGGGCGAAAGCCUGAGCCAGCAAUGCCACGUGAGUGAUGAAGGCCUUAGGGUUGUAAAGCUCUUUUACCCGGGAUGAUAAUGACAGUACCGGGAGAAUAAGCUCCGGCUAACUCCGUG